AUUGAACGCUGGCGGCAUGCCUAACACAUGCAAGUCGAACGGCAGCAUGAAAUGGGGUAACCCAUUUUGAUGGCGAGUGGCGGACGGGUGAGUAAUAUGUAGGAAUCUACCUAGAGGUGCGGGAUAACUUAGGGAAACUUAAGCUAAUACCACAUAAGCCCUACGGGGGAAAGCAGGGGACCGCAAGGCCUUGCGCCUUAUGAUGAGCCUACAUCGGAUUAGCUUGUUGGUGGGGUAAAGGCCUACCAAGGCGACGAUCCGUAGCUGGUCUGAGAGGAUGAUCAGCCCCACUGGGACUGAGACACGGCCCAGACUCCUACGGGAGGCAGCAGUGGGGAAUAUUGGACAAUGGGCGCAAGCCUGAUCCAGCAAUGCCGCGUGUGUGAAGAAGGCCUUAGGGUUGUAAAGCACUUUCAGUGGGGAGGAAGUUGAGUUUGCUAAUACCAGAUUCAAUUGACGUUACCCACAGAAGAAGCACCGGCUAACUCUGUGCCAGCAGCCGCAGUAA
This 508-nucleotide ribosomal RNA is filed under the name uncultured bacterium. RNAcentral's name for it is "partial 16S ribosomal RNA". It matches the Rfam family "Bacterial small subunit ribosomal RNA", at positions 30 to 523 of the family's 1533-position model. The record is from RNAcentral.